RNAcentral lists this long non-coding RNA (309 nucleotides) under Elaeis guineensis (African oil palm). RNAcentral describes it as "long non-coding RNA (EGUI_LNC037184)". The record is from RNAcentral. Lineage: Eukaryota; Viridiplantae; Streptophyta; Magnoliopsida; Arecales; Arecaceae.
UUUUAAAAAGUAUGCCUUACUGCUGACAAAUACCUUUUGUUCAGUAGGGAGGUAAAAAUAAUAUCCCUUUGUUUCCUUAGAGUAUCUUACAAAAUUAUACUUAUCAGAUCUAGGUCCGAGCUUAUCAAUUUGUAAUCAUUUGACAUAAGCCGGACACCCCCAAACCUUAAAGUAAGCGAGGUUCGGCCCCUGACCAUAUCUUAUCUGGUAUUUUACUAACUAACUUGCUCGAAAUAUUAUUAAGCACAAAAUAGGCUGUCUCAAGUGCAUAUCUCUAAAAGGAGAUCGGCAGACUUGUAAACCCCAUCA